This 96-nucleotide transfer RNA is filed under the name Carex phacota. Its description in RNAcentral is "trnL". It matches the Rfam family "tRNA". From Rfam's summary of the family: Transfer RNA (tRNA) molecules are approximately 80 nucleotides in length. Their secondary structure includes four short double-helical elements and three loops (D, anti-codon, and T loops). Lineage: Eukaryota; Viridiplantae; Streptophyta; Magnoliopsida; Poales; Cyperaceae. The record is from RNAcentral.
GGGGAUAUGGCGAAAUUGGUAGACGCUACGGACUUUAGUAAGAGGAAAAUCCCGUCGAUUUUUGAAAUCAUGAGGGUUCAAGUCCCUCUAUCCCCA